This 468-nucleotide ribosomal RNA is filed under the name uncultured bacterium. Its description in RNAcentral is "partial 16S ribosomal RNA". It matches the Rfam family "Bacterial small subunit ribosomal RNA", at positions 28 to 507 of the family's 1533-position model. The record is from RNAcentral.
GACGAACGCUGGCGGCGUGCUUAACACAUGCAAGUCGAACGGAAAGGCCCUGCUUUUGUGGGGUGCUCGAGUGGCGAACGGGUGAGUAACACGUGAGUAACCUGCCCUUGACUUUGGGAUAACUCCAGGAAACUGGGGCUAAUACCGGAUAGGAGCUCCUGCUGCAUGGUGGGGGUUGGAAAGUUUCGGCGGUUGGGGAUGGACUCGCGGCUUAUCAGCUUGUUGGUGGGGUAGUGGCUUACCAAGGCUUUGACGGGUAGCCGGCCUGAGAGGGUGACCGGCCACAUUGGGACUGAGAUACGGCCCAGACUCCUACGGGAGGCAGCAGUGGGGAAUAUUGCACAAUGGGCGGAAGCCUGAUGCAGCAACGCCGCGUGCGGGAUGACGGCCGUCGGGUUGUAAACCGCUUUCGCCUGUGACGAAGCGUGAGUGACGGUAAUGGGUAAAGAAGCACCGGCUAACUACGUG